Molecule: ribosomal RNA, 253 nt
Filed under: Blautia wexlerae DSM 19850
Lineage: Bacteria; Bacillati; Bacillota; Clostridia; Lachnospirales; Lachnospiraceae
Description: partial 16S ribosomal RNA
Rfam family: Bacterial small subunit ribosomal RNA
Source: RNAcentral
UACGUAGGGGGCAAGCGUUAUCCGGAUUUACUGGGUGUAAAGGGAGCGUAGACGGUGUGGCAAGUCUGAUGUGAAAGGCAUGGGCUCAACCUGUGGACUGCAUUGGAAACUGUCAUACUUGAGUGCCGGAGGGGUAAGCGGAAUUCCUAGUGUAGCGGUGAAAUGCGUAGAUAUUAGGAGGAACACCAGUAGCGAAGGCGGCUUACUGGACGGUAACUGACGUUGAGGCUCGAAAGCGUGGGGAGCAAACAGG